GCAUCGUUAAGUGCGGAGGGGCGCGCCGGCAGCCUCGCCCUCUGACCUUUAUCGCGGCCCUGGGUACCAGGCCUGGGUUGCGCAGAGGGUCGGCGGGUGUCUUUUGCUUGUGGGGACAGCGGUCUGCGGGCGCGGGGAGUAGCGCGUGAGCUCUGGAGGGUCUUCGCCUUCCCUAGGCCUUCCCGAUGUGGACGCUGGACACCCCACAGACCUUGCUUGGGGCCCGGAGAGCGCGAUGCUGGAGGAAGACUUACUGCCACAAUUCUGAUUUGCUAAUACUGUUGUGUCACAAUCCAAGGGCUCAGAGGUGAGGAAGCAUACAUGACUUUUAGAGAAAUGAAUUGUGAAAUUUGAACUCCGUUACUUCAUAGUACAAGAAUCCAAAACAUUUUUUUCUUUUCUUCUUUUUUUCCUUUUUAAAGAUUUAUUUAUUUAUUAUUAUAUAAGUACACGGUAGCUGUCUUCAGACACACCAGAGGAGGGCACAGAUCUCAUUACAGAUGGUUUGAGUCACCAUGUGUUUGCUGGGAUUUGAACUCUGGACCUCAGGAAGAGCAGUCAGUUCUCUUAGCCACUGAGCCAUCUCUCCAGGGCCCUGAAGAACAAUUUUCAAGGCAAUUCUUCAAAGAACAAUUUUGAAAGAUUCCUCAAAAUGUUAUUAUAGUUGCUAAAAUGUGUUUGCAAAUCUGAGUUGUUAAUAGACAAUCACCACUAUGAAAAUAAUCUGAAGAAUGUGUUUGUAAAAGGUCAGGAGGAAUUUUGUUAUAUUUAGCAUCUAGAAUGGAAUUCUCAAAGCUAGUUGCUAAUAAAGGCAAUGUUCUCUGGGAUCUAGAGUCCCAAAGCAGUUGACAAACUAAGACCUUUGGAAGUUAAGCUUUAGGACAGGUCGCUGCUGCCUGACCAUGUUUUCCCAGCACAGCCCAGGAAGCUAAAGGAUGAAACCUGGACCAAAACACUAAAAACACUCGGACUGGCAUUUCAGGAGACUUUUUGUUAGGGACUUAAAUGGAAGGUUCUGGAUUUUCUGCUGUACUUAGAUGCUGAUAUGGUUUGAAAACAUAGCAUUAGUUGUUUAAGGGGUUCUAUUCUAGAUGGAUGAAGUUAGUAUAGAUAGGCAGCAGGUUGUUUGCUAUUUAUUAACAGGGUUGUGUGCUCUAGGCUGGCCUCAGAGUUGUUAUUUAGCUCAUGCUGGUCUUGAAUUGGAAAUCCUCCUGUCUCUGUCUUCCCAGGCUUGUUAUUAAAGGUAUAUGCCAACAUGGCUAGAAAGGAGAAUUCACAUUUUAAUUGCAGAUAAAUCAGAGUGUCUGUGAAAUCAGCCUAUCACUAGGCUCUGCCAUGUUACCAGUGGUGUAAGUCAGUUGUCAAAACCUAAAUCCUAAGUGGGAAAAUUGAAUGUGCUUCAUGGAUUAGUGUGUGUACAGGUUAUGCACUAAGACAGAGCAUGGCUGUUGUAAGAACAUGUUAGCACUGUUGCUGCUGCUGGUUAAAACAGAUUUUAAUAAAAUUUAAAUUAAUUUUUUUGUAUGUGUUGGUGUUUUUUACUUUGUGGGAGUCUUUUUUCCACCCUUUCCACCCUUUUCUUCCACCUCUUUAACACCCUAACACUAGUUAAGAGAGAAAAAAGGAUGUAUGUUUGUAUGUAUGUAUAUGUAGAACCUGUGUGCCUGGUGCCCAUGGAGCCAGAAGAGAGCAUUGGAUCCUCUGGAAGUAGAAUUAUUGAUGGUUGAGAGCAGCCGUAUGUGUGCUAGGAACUGAACCCAGGUCCCUUGCAAGAGCAAGUGCUGUUAGCCACUGAAGAAUUCCUCCAGCCCCAUGUAUUAUUUCUUUUUUAAAAAGUUUUCACAUAAGGAGUGACUUGGGAAUUGAAAAAGCAGAAAGCCUUAACCACGGCUUGUAGACAUUAUGUAGUGAAAUGUGGGGAAAGGUAGGUUUGUCAUAUAUCCUAGCAUUUUAGGGUGCUUAACAUUUUUUAAAUGUUUAUUUGUUAUUUAUUGUCUGAGGUGUGCAUUGGCACAUGCAGAGGUCAGAAGGUAACUUGCAGAGUGGCUGCUUUUUUCUGCCUGUAAGACCCUGGAGUUUGCAAUGAGCUUGGUGGUAAACACCUUUACCCAUUGAGCCAUCUUGCUGGUAUAUGUUGGAGAAACAAUAUUUUAUUUUAAAGACUCAGUUACUUCUCAAUUUAUGACUUCUUGAAAUCCAUUUUCCCCUACAAAGUUAAUUUUAUUCAAAAUACUUUGCAUUUGCAUGCAUUAGCAUAUGUCCUUUUUUAAACAAUUUUUUAUUAGAUAUUUUCUUUAUUUACAUUUCAAAUGCUAUCCUGAAAGUCCCCUAUACCCUCCCUAGGCCUUGCUCCCCAACCCACCCACUCCCACUUCUUGGCCCUGGCGUUCCCCUGUACUGAGGCAUAUAAAGUUUGCAAGACCAAGGGGCCUCUCUUCCCAAUGAUGGCCGACUAGGCCAUCUUCUGCUACAUAUGCAGCUAGAGGCACGAGCUCUGGGGGUACUGGUUAGUUCAUGUUGUUGUUUAUGACUUAAUACCCUUUAAAAAUGUUAGUUUGCUAUCUUUGACUCGGGGUCUUACAGGUUGUUGCUUCCUGUAAGAGGUACCACCAUCUGCCAAGUUAAGUUUCUUGCCUAAGGUAACAUAGUUAGGUGUAGGGCUUGGUAGUGUGAGUCAUGUAAAUUUUUCCUCUCAUGUUGCAUAAUGUCUUUAAGGAUAGAAUUAAUGCAUUAAUUUAAAGUCGUUACAGGUUCUUAUAUUGACAUGUUUUGGUUUUAAUAAUUAGAUUUUAUCUAUCCUUAUUUCUUGAUAUUUUUUUUUCUUUUUUUUCUUUUUGUAAAGACAGAGUUUCACUGUAUCCUGGAACUCAGUGUGUAGAGCAAGAUGACCUUGAACUCACAGAGAUCCUGGGCUUUCUUGAGGACUGGGAUUAAGGGCGUGUACCACCACUUGAGGCUCAGUUUUCUUAUGUAAUUAUAAA
Long non-coding RNA from Mus musculus (house mouse), 2981 nucleotides. RefSeq annotates it as predicted gene, 46766. The record is from RefSeq and is a predicted model, not a curated record. NCBI's taxonomy places the organism in Eukaryota, Metazoa, Chordata, Mammalia, Rodentia, Muridae. The transcript has 2 exons.